CUACGGGGGGCAGCAGUGAGGAAUUUUGCGCAAUGGGCGAAAGCCUGACGCAGCAACGCCGCGUGAGUGAAGAAGGCUCUUGGGUCGUAAAGCUCUGUCAACAGGGAAGAAACAGUUUGUGGUUAAUAGCCACAAGCCUUGACGGUACCUGUGAAGGAAGCACCGGCUAACGUCCGUGGCCAGCAGCCGCGGUAAUACGGGGGGUGCAAGCGUUAUUCGGAAUUAUUGGGCGUAAAGCGCAUGUAGGCGGAAAAGUCAGUCAGAUGUGAAAGCCCGGGGCUCAACCCCGGAAGUGCAUUUGAAACAGCUUUUCUUGAGUACUGGAGAGGAAAGUGGAAUUCCUGGUGUAGAGGUGAAAUUCGUAGAUAUCAGGAGGAACACCGGUGGCGAAGGCGACUUUCUGGACAGAUACUGACGCUGAGAUGCGAAGGCGUGGGGAGCGAACAGGAUUAGAUACCCUCGUAGUC
This 467-nucleotide ribosomal RNA is filed under the name uncultured bacterium. RNAcentral describes it as "partial 16S ribosomal RNA". It matches the Rfam family "Bacterial small subunit ribosomal RNA", at positions 339 to 795 of the family's 1533-position model. The record is from RNAcentral.